AUAUCAAUAAGCGGAGGAAAAGAAACCAACAGGGAUUGCCCCAGUAACGGCGAGUGAAGCGGCAACAGCUCAAAUUUGAAAUCUGGCCCCCGUGGCCCGAGUUGUAAUUUGGAGAAGGUGCUUCGGGCGCGGCGACGGUCCAAGUCCCUUGGAACGGGGCGUCAUAGAGGGUGAGAGCCCCGUACGCGGCCGCCCGCCAACCCCGUGUGAAGCCCUUUCGACGAGUCGAGUUGUUUGGGAAUGCAGCUCAAAAUGGGUGGUAAAUUUCAUCUAAAGCUAAAUACCCGCCAGAGACCGAUAGCGCACAAGUAGAGUGAUCGAAAGAUGAAAAGCACUUUGGAAAGAGAGUGAAACAGUACGUGAAAUUGUUGAAAGGGAAGCGCUUGCAACCAGACUCGCCCGCGGGCGUUCAGCCGCCCCCCGGGGUGGUGUACUCGCCCGCGGUCGGGCCAGCAUCGAUUCUGGCGGCCGGACAAAGGUCCCGGGAACGUGGCUCUCUUCGGGGAGCGUUAUAGCCCGGGGCGCAAUGCGGCCAGCCGGGGUCGAGGACCGCGCUUUUUGCUAGGAUGCUGGCGUAAUGGUUGCCAGCGACCCGUCUUGAAACACGGACCAAGGAGUCGACCGACCGCGCGAGUGUUUGGGCGUCAAACCCAUGCGCGCAAUGAAAGUGAACGGAGGUGGGAGCCCCCGGGCGCACCAUCGACCGAUCCUGAUGUCUUCGGAUGGAUUUGAGUAUGAGCGUGGGCGGUCGGACCCGAAAGGUGAGCCCUUAAUCAAUUCCCCCCGCUGUAAUUUAUCAACUAACUUUUUUUUUUCAGACAGUGAGCUAUGCGUGAAUAGGGUGAAGCCAGAGGAAACUCUGGUGGAGGCUCGCAGCGGUUCUGACGUGCAAAUCGAUCGUCAAAUUUGCGUAUAGGGGCGAAAGACUAAUCGAACUGUCUAGUAGCUGGUUCCUGCCGAAGUUUC
This 966-nucleotide ribosomal RNA is filed under the name Acanthothecis peplophora. RNAcentral describes it as "partial 28S ribosomal RNA". It matches the Rfam family "Eukaryotic large subunit ribosomal RNA", at positions 40 to 970 of the family's 3401-position model. The record is from RNAcentral. Lineage: Eukaryota; Fungi; Ascomycota; Lecanoromycetes; Ostropales; Graphidaceae.